GGUAGCGUGGUCGAGCGUUCUAAGGCGCUGGUUUAGGCCACCAGUCUAUUCAGAGACGUGGGCUCGAAUCCCAUUGCUGCCA
This is a non-coding RNA of Dryococelus australis, 82 nucleotides long. NCBI's taxonomy places the organism in Eukaryota, Metazoa, Arthropoda, Insecta, Phasmatodea, Phasmatidae. The record is from the annotation of a GenBank genome assembly.